AUUGAACGCUGGCGGCAGGCCUAACACAUGCAAGUCGAACGAGUGGCGGACGGGUGAGUAAUGUCUGGGAACCUGCCUGAUGGAGGGGGAUGACUACUGUAAACGGUAGCUAAUACCGCAUACCAUCAGAUGUGCCCAGGUGGGAUUAGCUUGUUGGUGGGGUAACGGCUCACCAUGGCGACGAUCCCUAGCUGGUCUGAGAGGAUGACCAGCCACACUGGGACUGAGACACGGUCCAGACUCCUACGGGAGGCAGCAGUGGGGAAUAUUGCACAAUGGGCGCAAGUCUGAUGCAGCCAUGCCGCGUGUAUGAAGAAGGCCUUCGGGUUGUAAAGUACUUUCGGCGGGGAGGCGUUACCCGCCGAGGAAGCACCGGCUAACUCCGUGCCAGCAGCCGCGAUAAUUC
Molecule: ribosomal RNA, 406 nt
Filed under: uncultured bacterium
Lineage: Bacteria
Description: partial 16S ribosomal RNA
Rfam family: Bacterial small subunit ribosomal RNA
Source: RNAcentral